GAGAGUAGGCGUAGGCGGUUGCAGAACUGUCAUUAUUGGUAGUUUUGAGGAAAGUCCGGGCUCCCGAAAGACCAAACUUGCUGGAUAACGUCCAGUGCGAGCGAUCGUGAGGAUAGUGCCACAGAAAGAUACCGCCAGAAAAGUAAAAAGUGAAAAGUAAAAGGCAAAAAGAUUUCUUUUUACUUUUACGUUUUAACUCUUGCUUUAUUUGGUAAGGGUGCAAAGGUGCGGUAAGAGCGCACCAGCACGAUCGAGAGGUCGUGGCUCGGUAAACCCCGGUUGGGAGCAAGGUCAGAGGAACUACGGUUGGUCUUUUACCAGUUCCGUUUAUGAGAGCCGCUAGAGGCGUUUGGUAACAAGCGUCCCAGAUAGAUAACCGCCCUCAUGUAAAAUUUUUACAUAGAGAACAGAACCCGGCUUACUACCGACUUUCUCCU
Molecule: RNase P RNA, 437 nt
Filed under: Fortiea sp. LEGE XX443
Lineage: Bacteria; Bacillati; Cyanobacteriota; Cyanophyceae; Nostocales; Fortieaceae
Description: RNase P RNA component class A
Rfam family: Bacterial RNase P class A
About the family: Ribonuclease P (RNase P) is a ubiquitous endoribonuclease, found in archaea, bacteria and eukarya as well as chloroplasts and mitochondria. Its best characterised activity is the generation of mature 5'-ends of tRNAs by cleaving the 5'-leader elements of precursor-tRNAs. Cellular RNase Ps are ribonucleoproteins.
Source: RNAcentral